GUGGAGACAAAAAGUUAAUCAUCACAGUACUUACUGUCUGGAGCUGUUAGAGUCUAUGAAUUUUGCUCAGUACACAAAAGAAAGCACUGAUUUGGGGAGCUAUCAUCACCAAUCCAGAGACUGCCGCCCAGGUGGAAGGAGAUAAAAGUUUGCUUAAUGAGCAUCUUGUGGAAUCAUGUAAGAGCACUCGGAGGAUUUGAACAAUAUGGAAGGCGAGGACAGGACGCUGGAGAUAGGAAUGUGUGCAGGCCGAGACGGGUGAAGUGGAAACUUUCCUUUCUCCAGUUUUAGAAACAAUAGAUAAUAAUGACCUCUUGUGACUCUACAAGGCAACAGUGCCCCAGGACAGAAGGGCAGCCGACUUGAUUGGUGAACCACAGGUAUGUCUUGGUACUGCUGGACUUCAAUUAUAAAUUAAAAAGUAUAGUAAUCAUUGUCUGAGACAAACACGGUAACUAGGAAAUAAAGCCUCUUGGGAAUAAAGAUCUGAGUUACCGCUCCAGACAAGCCACCUGGACCAUCUGCAGAGACAGCCACAUCUUUUCAUGCAGUGCAGCCUUGUCCUUCAGACAUGAUGGUGACGGUCGGAGGGAACAAAUUUGGCCGUAUUGGAUGCUGGGUUGCCAGUUCUGUCUUUAGCUCUAAUAAAGUAAAGGUUGUGGCUAUCAGUGACCCCUCACUGACCUCAGCUACAUGGUCUACAUGUUCUAGUAUGACUCGACCCAUGACAAGUUCAACAACACAGACGAGGCUGAGAAUGGGAAGCUUGUUCCCAAUGGGAAAGUCAUCUUUAUCUUCCAGGAGUGAGAUCCUGCUAACAUCAAAUGGGGUGAUGCUGGUGCUGAGUAUGUUGUGUCUACUCGUGUCUUUACCACCAUGGAGAAGGCCAGGGACCACUUGAAGUGUGGAGCCAAAGGGUUAUCAUCUUUGCCCCUUCUGGCCAUACUCCCAUGUUUGUGAUGGGUAUGAAGCAUGAGAAGUUUGACAACUCCCUUAAGAUUGUCAGCAAUGGUUCCUGCACCACCAACUGCUUAGAACGCCUGGCCAAGGUCAUCCAUGACAACUGUGGCAUCAUGGAAGGACUCAUGACCACAGUCUAUGCCAUCACUUCUAUCCUGAAGACUGUAGGUGGUUCCUUUGGAAUGCUCUGGUGUGACAGCUACAGGGCUGCCCAGAGCAUUAUCCCUGCAUCCAGUGGUGCUGCCAAGGCUAUGGGCAAGGUCAUCCCAGAGCUGAAUAAGAAGCUCACUGGCAUGACCUUCCAUGUUCCUAUCCCCCCAAGGUAUCUGUUGAAGAUCUAACAUGCCAACUGGAGAAUCCUGCAAAGUAUGAUGACAUCAAGAAUGUGGUGAAGAAAACAUCUAAGGGCCCACUAAAGGGCAUCCUAGGCCACACUGAGGACCAGAUUUUCUCCUGAGACUUUAACAGUGAUGACCACUCUUCUACCUUUGAUACUGGAGUGGGCAUUACUCUUAAUGACAACUUUGUAAAUCUCAUUUCCUGGAAUAACAAUGAAUAUGGCUACAGCAACAGGGUGGUGGAUCUCAAUGGCCUACAUGAUCUCCAAGGAGUAAGAAGCCCUGGACCACCCACCCCAGCGGGAACACGAGAGCAAGAGAGAGGCUCUUGCUGUUGAGGAGUCCCUGUCUGAAUUCAGCAUGUCCUUCACAGUUUCCAUCCCAGACCCCCAAAAUAACGGGAGGGACCCAGGAAGCCCUACUGUCUUGUAUACCAUCAAUAAAGCACACUGCACUCCACCCAUCCCCCCAAAAAGAAGUUAAGUAAAGGAGGGAAGAUGUUAUAUGUAAAUGAUAUAAAUGUAUAACCUUAGUUGCA
Molecule: long non-coding RNA, 1836 nt
Organism: Meriones unguiculatus (Mongolian gerbil)
Lineage: Eukaryota; Metazoa; Chordata; Mammalia; Rodentia; Muridae
Exons: 5
Source: RefSeq, a predicted model, not a curated record